Molecule: ribosomal RNA, 467 nt
Filed under: uncultured bacterium
Lineage: Bacteria
Description: partial 16S ribosomal RNA
Rfam family: Bacterial small subunit ribosomal RNA
Source: RNAcentral
GACGAACGCUGGCGGCGUGCUUAACACAUGCAAGUCGAACGGAAAGGCUCCAGCUUGCUGGAGUGCUCGAGUGGCGAACGGGUGAGUAACACGUGGGCAAUCUGCCCUGCACUCUGGGAUAAGCCUGGGAAACUGGGUCUAAUACCGGAUAGGACCUUUCUCCCCAUGGGGUUUGGUGGAAAGUUUUUCGGUGCAGGAUGAGCCCGCGGCCUAUCAGCUUGUUGGUGGGGUAAUGGCCUACCAAGGCGACGCCGGGUAGCCGGCCUGAGGGGGUGGUCGGCGACAAUGGUACUAAGAUACGGCCCAGACGCGUACGUGAGGCAGCAGUGGGGAAUAUUGCCCAAUGGGCGAAAGCCGGAUGCAGCGACGCCGCGGUAGGGAAGACGGCCUUCGGGUUGUAAACCUCUUUCAGUAAGGACGAAGCGCAAGUGACGGUACCUGCAGAAGAAGCACCGGCUAACUACGUG